RNAcentral lists this long non-coding RNA (367 nucleotides) under Sander lucioperca (pikeperch). RNAcentral's name for it is "lncRNA (ENSSLUG00000009297.1)". Lineage: Eukaryota; Metazoa; Chordata; Actinopteri; Perciformes; Percidae. The record is from RNAcentral.
CCCAACCAAAAACUUAAGAAUGAUAAUGUCAUAGAGUGACGUAGAACUGAACAAAAUAAAUGAAAUUUUGUUUUCAGGGAAUAAUGAGGAAAACAAAGAGGAAGAAGAAGAAGAAGAAGAAGAAGAAGAAGAAGAAGAAGAAGAAGAAGAAGAGGAGGAGGAAGAUAAGGAGGAAGAGGACCACCAGCAGAAAGAAGUGUUGGAAGAUGUGGCCCCACAUCAGCCUAAAAACCUGGAUCUACAGAAGAGCAGCCAACCUGACGAGAUGAAAUCCAUCCAUGAUGUAAACACAGCAGAAUUCUUGAGAAAGAAGUCAUAGUUGGGAAAGUUGUUCAGAAAUCUGAGCUGCACACGUACGAAACCAAAG